UAGUCCACGCCGUAAACGAUGGUCACUAGCUGUUUGGACUUUUGUCUGAGUGGCUAAGCGAAAGUGAUAAGUGACCCACCUGGGGAGUACGUUCGCAAGAAUGAAACUCAAAGGAAUUGACGGGGGCCCGCACAAGCGGUGGAGCAUGUGGUUUAAUUCGAUGAUACGCGAGGAACCUUACCAGGGCUUAAAUGUAAGUUGCAUGAUUUAGAGAUAGAUCUUUCUUCGGACUACUUACAAGGUGCUGCAUGGUUGUCGUCAGCUCGCGCCGUGAGGUGUCAGGUUAAGUCCUAUAACGAGCGCAACCCCUGUUGUUAGUUGCCAGCGAUUCAAGUCGGGAACUCUAACAAGACCGCCAGUGCAAACUGAGAGGAAGGUGGGGAUGACGUCAAAUCAUCACGGCCCUUACGUCCUGGGCUACACACGUGCUACAAUGGUAGGUACAGAGAGCAGCCACUGCGCGAGCAGGAGCGAAUCUAUAAAACCUAUCACAGUUCGGAUC
Molecule: ribosomal RNA, 502 nt
Filed under: uncultured bacterium
Lineage: Bacteria
Description: bacterial SSU rRNA
Rfam family: Bacterial small subunit ribosomal RNA
Source: RNAcentral